AGAAAGCAAAAUGAUGAAAAUCAUGUGCUUUAGUCAUAAGAAGCUGGGGCAGCUAUGCUCCCAGGUGAAGACCCCAGAGAAAAGAAUUCUACUGAGGCCCGUGUCAAAUAAUAAUGACAGUAUCCCAAGGACAUGACCUUGGAGGCCUUUUCGGUCAUCCUCACCCAGAUGCUGGGGCUCAGUCUGGGAAUAUCAUAUGACAAUCCGGAGAAAUGUCGCUGCUCGGAAAAAGUCUGCAUCAUGAAUCCCAGGGCAAUGCAAUGUGGGGCUAACAGCUGUUGUGAGCCUACAUCUUGUGUUCUGAAGAGUGGAAAAGCUUGUGACAGUAUGUCUCCCUCAGCAACAUGCUGCAAAGAUUGUCAAUUUUUACCAGAUAAACAUGAAUGUAGGCCCAGCAGCAAUAUGUACUGUGACGUUGCUGAAGUCUGCAAUGGGAGCUCAGGACAAUGUCCACCUGAUAUAAUUUUAUCCAACGGGAUUAUUUGUGGAGAAGGUGGGACUGUCUGUUAUAAUGGAAACUGCCCCAACCUGGACAGAGCAUGCGAGGCUAUGUAUGGACUAGGUAAAC
Molecule: long non-coding RNA, 568 nt
Filed under: Rattus norvegicus (Norway rat)
Lineage: Eukaryota; Metazoa; Chordata; Mammalia; Rodentia; Muridae
Description: long non-coding RNA NONRATT011607
Source: RNAcentral